UUGACAUGUAAUCAAUUUCUGCUUAACAUAACCAUACUUUUUCUCUCCGGUAUUAAAUAAGUUUUCUUAAAUGUCUUUAAUUAAAAAGCCUUUAACAUUUGAUGUUAUAUCAUCUUGUAAAACAAGCAAAGCUCGCGUGGGCAAAAUGAUUUUACCUCAUGGUCCAGUAGAUACUCCUGUUUUUAUGCCAGUUGGAACUCAAGGAACUUUGAAAGGCAUGCUUCCAGAACAACUCGAAAAGAUGGGGUUACAAAUAAUGUUGGCUAAUACAUAUCAUUUAGGAACGAAACCAGGUCCUGAGAUUUUAAGAAAAGCUGGCGGGCUUCACAAAUUCAUGAAUUGGAAUAGACCUCUACUGACUGACUCUGGCGGGUUUCAAAUGGUAUCUUUACUAAAAUUAGCAGAAAUUACUGAAGAUGGUGUGAAAUUUCAAUCACUAAAUAAAGAGAAAGGAGAAGUUAUGUUAACUCCAGAACAUUCCAUAGAGAUUCAAAAUGCUAUUGGGGCCGAUAUUAUAAUGCAGCUAGACGAUGUUAUUAAAACUACAUCACCUGACAAAAGUAGAAUAGAGGAAUCAGUAUAUAGAACAACCAGGUGGCUAGAUAGGUGCUUAAAUGCUCACCAAAAUCCAGAAAUUCAGAAUAUUUUUCCAAUUGUGCAGGGAACGUUAUAUGAAGAUUUGAGAGUUAUUAGUGCCCAGGAUCUCAUUAAAAGGGAUACGAAUGGAUUUGCCAUUGGCGGUUUAAGCGGCGGUGAAAGCAAAGAUGAUUUUUGGAAAAUUGUACAUUUGUGUACAGAUCUCUUGCCAAAAAAUAAACCAAGGUACCUCAUGGGUGUUGGUUUUGCUGUUGACUUAGUUGUUUGUUCUGCGUUAGGAGUGGAUAUGUUCGAUUGUGUUUUCCCUACCAGAACAGCGAGAUUUGGUUGUGCCCUUAUAAUGACCGGACAGCUAAAUCUAAGGAAGCAACAAUACGUCAAAGACUUCAGCCCAAUCGACAAGGAGUGCUGGUGCAGUACCUGCAAGAAUUAUACAAGAGCUUACCUUCAUAAGGUCGUUACCGAUCUACCAGUGGCAUGUACGCUCCUCACUGAACACAACGUUGCCUUCCAGAUGAGAUUAAUGGAGAAGAUACGAAGCAGCGUUUCCGAGAACCGAUUUCCGGAAUUCGUACAGAAAUUUAUUCUGGAUAUAUAUCCCAAUAAAGAUUAUCCCAGUUGGGUUAAGGAUUCCCUUAAGGCUGUGAAUAUUGAAUUAUUGUGAUAUUUGCUCGUACUAAUUUUUAGUUUGCAUUUAGUAAAAUUAGUCUCUUUUUAAAAGAACCAAUAACCAGUUAAUAUUGUGAUUUUUUAAGGUUAUCUUUUAAUUUAUUUGUUUAUUUUUCCUUUUUUUUAUUGUUAUUAUACCUAGUAUGAUGAGUUAAUUCUUUUCGUAUCAAGAUACAUUGCGCCCAUCAGAAUCAAAACCUGCUAAAUCCUAAAUUUUUCGUUUUCCCUUUUUUACACAUUUUCAAAGUUCAAGUAUACAGUGAUGAGGGCGCUAAUAACCGCCAAAAUAACGCAAAAGAUGGAAAACAUAUUAAGUUGUGAGAUAAAAAGAAAUGAAACUAGUGGAGGUGGGAGAUUUAGCGAUAAAAACCUAUAAACUUACAUUCUAUUUGUUUCACAUCUUUAGACGUAUCAGAGGAGUAUGCCAAAUAAAACUAUCACUGUCACAGUUGCCAAAUUCGUCUGAUACGUCUAAAGGUUUUUAUCGCUAAAUCUCCCACCUCCACUAGUUUCAUUUCUUUUUAUCUCACAUCUUAAUGUGUUUUCCAUCUUUUGCGCUACUUUACCGCUAUUAAACCUUCUAAAUCCGAUUUAAAAUACCAGUGGAAUGUUGACGUGCUGUGUCCAUUUCUUUUAUGAACAAUAAAAUACUUCUUUUUCUUGUAUAUUUUGUGUUUUCCUAUCAAAAUGGUUCAAGACCCACUUGUAGUGCAUUAAUUUUAUUGUUCCUAAAAGCAGUUGAAUAUGCGGAAUUUGCACAAUAUUUGGGCUUAGAAUCAAAAUCUGCUAAGUCCAAACUAGAAGCGCAAAUUUCUAAAGAUGUAAGGGGCAUGCAGAAAAAUGACUCUACCAAAUUAGUGAACCAUUUUAUGACAUUUAUUGAUACCCCUAUGAUUGAGAAAUGCCGGAUACUUUUUGGAAAAUUUACAUUUUUAAUGUUUUUUUAGUCUCCUGAAAAAUUGCAAAACAUGUAUCUAGCAGGUUUUGAUUUUAUAGGCCUCAUGUUAAUAGAUUCAUUUGAUGGUUUAUGACUGAGACUAACGUUUCACUUUUUCGAUAAGUAUAGAAUGUUUUAUUAUUAUAAUUUUAUUAAAUGACAACUACUUAAAAAACCGGAGCUAUUGAACGCGAAAACCAAGAUAAUCUUGCAGGAAUUUUUUGUCCCCUUUGUGUAUCAUAUAAAUUGCACAAGGUUUUCAUUUACCACUUUGAGAAUUCCAUCUUAAAAUCUGCGAAGAGAAUGAGCAAAAUCUUAAUGUUAAUUUGUACUGCCAGAUUCCUCUAACGAGAUAGUUACUGUCAUUUCGCUUUUUUUGUUACUUUAUGUUGCUUUACUCUCAUGAAUAUCUGAAUUUUUAAUCAAUAUAGGCGUGAGAGUCGAAAUAUAUUGCUCGUCGAUGCCGUUUAUUUCCAAAGUUAGUAGAAUGAGUUAGAGGCAUUUAGCACAGGGUUAGAGGUCAAGUACCGAGAUGAUCUCAAUGCGAGUGACGCUUCACUUUUUUUGCUUUGUUUCCAUUUUUUUUAAUAUAUUUCUCUUUCAGUUAGUAUGA
RNAcentral lists this unclassified non-coding RNA (2816 nucleotides) under Diabrotica virgifera virgifera (western corn rootworm). RNAcentral's name for it is "queuine tRNA-ribosyltransferase catalytic subunit". The record is from RNAcentral. Lineage: Eukaryota; Metazoa; Arthropoda; Insecta; Coleoptera; Chrysomelidae.